CCUACGGGAGGCAGCAGUGAGGAAUAUUGGUCAAUGGACGAGAGUCUGAACCAGCCAAGUAGCGUGAAGGAUGACUGCCCUAUGGGUUGUAAACUUCUUUUAUAUGGGAAUAAAAUGUUCCACGUGUGGGAUUUUGUAUGUACCAUAUGAAUAAGGAUCGGCUAACUCCGUGCCAGCAGCCGCGGUAAUACGGAGGAUCCGAGCGUUAUCCGGAUUUAUUGGGUUUAAAGGGAGCGUAGGUGGAUUGGUAAGUCAGUUGUGAAAGUUUGCGGCUCAACCGUAAAAUUGCAGUUGAAACUGGCAGUCUGGAGUACAGUAGAGGUGGGCGGAAUUCGUGGUGUAGCGGUGAAAUGCUUAGAUAGCACGAAGAACUCCGAUGGCGAAGGCAGCUCACUGGACUGCAACUGACACUGAGGCUCGAAAGUGUGGGUAUCAAACAGGAUUAGAUACCCCGGUAGUC
Molecule: ribosomal RNA, 460 nt
Filed under: uncultured bacterium
Lineage: Bacteria
Description: partial 16S ribosomal RNA
Rfam family: Bacterial small subunit ribosomal RNA
Source: RNAcentral